UUAAUACAAUUAGUGCAUGGGUGUGUGUCUACCUGCAUCCGUUGCUUAUAGGUUCAACAUUGAUUUCUAGUUAUCAGGAACAACUUUAUUAACUCAUUUUACAAAAUCAAAUAGACCUCAUAAAUAAAUAAAAGGAAUAUAUGGAUAUUGCUUAUGGCAAAAAGUGUUAUUUAUUUAUUUUGAGACUCCAUUUUUUUUGCUUUUGGAAUAGUUUGUCUGUGUUCUUCCUAUUAUGAAUUUGUGUCUUACAUUGAGAGGUUCUGGGUAGUGGUAUACUAGUAUCUGCUCGGAUCUGUAUGAGUAAUGCCAUUAUAUUUUCAGAAGGUUGGUUUUAUAUUUUUGUUCUAUUGAUAAAAGUUUAAAAGACACCUUUAUGUGCAAUGCUGUCCUUUAUAUGAUAACCUAAAUGGCUAUCAUUAAUAAAAAAGUUCUCUCAAUAAAUACCUUAUACAUCUUCAGAACUUUUUCUUUUUAUGCUAAUGAGUCAUCUCGUUGACUGAUUCACUAGUUUUGUUAAUAUGUAAAAUGUUAUCAUAUGCUCCUUGUGUUGCUUCGUUCCUAUUUUAUGUUAUAUUUACAACAUCUGAGAUUGGUGCUUUGGUUCCCUAUGACAGGGCAGAUAAAUAAGUCUGAUUUCUGAUUUGCCAUUUUUGGUGCUUUGUAGAAUGGUAAGACUGUCCUUGCAAAGUCUGUUGGUGUGAUUGAUGCAACUGCAGAUACUGUUUUUGAAGUUAUUUUGAACACUGACCAACAGAAAAGAUAUGAGUGGGAUACAUUGAUAUGCGACUUGGAACUUGUAGAUUCUUAUGAUGGACACUACGAUGUUGUUUAUGGGACAUAUGAUUCUAAG
Molecule: non-coding RNA, 850 nt
Organism: Vigna umbellata (rice bean)
Lineage: Eukaryota; Viridiplantae; Streptophyta; Magnoliopsida; Fabales; Fabaceae
Source: RefSeq, a predicted model, not a curated record